Molecule: ribosomal RNA, 865 nt
Filed under: uncultured bacterium
Lineage: Bacteria
Description: bacterial SSU rRNA
Rfam family: Bacterial small subunit ribosomal RNA
Source: RNAcentral
AGAGUUUGAUCAUGGCUCAGAUUGAACGCUGGCGGCAGGCUUAACACAUGCAAGUCGAACGGUAACAGGGAGGAGCUUGCUUCUUUGCUGACGAGUGGCGGACGGGUGAGUAAUACUUGGGAAUCUGGCUUAUGGAGGGGGAUAACUACGGGAAACUGUAGCUAAUACCGCGUAAUAUCUUCGGAUUAAAGGGUGGGACUUUCGGGCCACCUGCCAUAAGAUGAGCCCAAGUGGGAUUAGGUAGUUGGUGGGGUAAAGGCCUACCAAGCCGACGAUCUCUAGCUGGUCUGAGAGGAUGACCAGCCACACUGGAACUGAGACACGGUCCAGACUCCUACGGGAGGCAGCAGUGGGGAAUAUUGCACAAUGGGGGGAACCCUGAUGCAGCCAUGCCGCGUGAAUGAAGAAGGCCUUCGGGUUGUAAAGUUCUUUCGGUGAUGAGGAAGGUGUUUGUUUUAAUAGAGCAAGCAAUUGACGUUAGUCACAGAAGAAGCACCGGCUAACUCCGUGCCAGCAGCCGCGGUAAUACGGAGGGUGCGAGCGUUAAUCGGAAUGACUGGGCGUAAAGGGCACGCAGGCGGUGACUUAAGUGAGAUGUGAAAGCCCCGAGCUUAACUUGGGAAUUGCAUUUCAUACUGGGUCGCUAGAGUAUUUUAGGGAGGGGUAGAAUUCCACGUGUAGCGGUGAAAUGCGUAGAGAUGUGGAGGAAUACCGAAGGCGAAGGCAGCCCCUUGGGAAUAUACUGACGCUCAUGUGCGAAAGCGUGGGGAGCAAACAGGAUUAGAUACCCUGGUAGUCCACGCCGUAAACGCUGUCGAUUUGGGGAUUGGGCUUAGAGCUUGGUGCCCGUAGCUAACGUGAUAAA